Mandrillus leucophaeus (drill) is the source of this 1988-nucleotide RNA transcript. It is a transcript of the gene named F-box/WD repeat-containing protein 4 pseudogene, with no coding region annotated. The record is from RefSeq and is a predicted model, not a curated record. NCBI's taxonomy places the organism in Eukaryota, Metazoa, Chordata, Mammalia, Primates, Cercopithecidae. The transcript has a single exon.
CUGCAGAAAGGGAGAGUGGUGAGGGGGAAGUGAAGGAAGGGGAAGAGGAAGGGAAAAGCGAGCGAGAGGGGCAAGGAGGAAGAGGAAGCGGGGCGGAAGGGAAGCCCGGGCCGCAGACGGCGAAGAAGACAGUGGGGCUGGGGGUUGAGGCAGGAGCGAGGGCAUGCCCAAGAGAGGAAACAGGGAGGCGGAAGCAUGGAGGAAGGGGCAAGAGACAUCAUCAAAAGAGAUGAGGGGAGCUCAGGGGCCGGGAAGGAGGCACAUGGAAGAGUAUGGGAAGAAGGAGGAAUGGAGAGUCAGGGCUAGGCAUUGGGAGGGCGCCAGGCUGAGAAGAGCACAAGGACGAGGGGGUCAGGCUUGGGCCUACAUCUCCGGGACAGGGGUGGCCAUGGUCGUGGCAGCCAGGGAGGAGGAGGCGGCGGCAGCUCGGGAGUCUGCCGCCUGCCCGGCUGCAGGGUCUACGCUCUGGCGCCUGCCGGAGGUGCUGCUGCUGCUCACCUGCUCUCACCUGGACAUGCGGGCCCUCGGCUGCCUGGCCCAGGUGUGCCGCUGGCUACGGCCCUUCACCGGCUGCGACCUGUUCUGGGAGUCUUUGCUGGGCAUGAUGAGGACAUUUGCCACUUUGUGCUGGCCAGCUUGCAUAUUGUCAGUGCAGGAGGAGAUGGGAAGAUUGGCGUUGGUAAGAUUCACAGCACCUUCACUGUCAAGUACUCGGCUCAUGGACAGGAGGUGAACUGUGUGGAUUGCAAAGGGGGCAUCACUGUGAGUGGCUCCAGGGACAGGAUGGCCGAGGUGUGGCCUUUGGCCUCAGGCUGGCUGGAGCAGUGUUUACACACCAUCCAGAUUGAAGACUGAGUCUGGUCCAUUGCUAUCAGCCCAUUACUCAGCUCUUUUGUGACAGGGACGGCUUGUUGCGGGCACUUCUCACCCCUGAGAGUCUGGGACCUCAACAGUGGGCAACUGAUGACAUACUUGGGCAGUGACUUUCUCCCAGGGGCUGGGGUGCUGGAUGUCAUGUAUGAGUCCCCUUUCACACUCUUGUCCUGUGGCUAUGACACCUACGUUCGCUACUGGGACCUCUGUACCAGUGUCCGGAAAGGUGUCAUGGAGUGGGAGGAGCCCCACAGCAGCACCCUGUACUGUCUGCAGACAGAUGGCAACCACUUGCUGGCCACAGGUUCCUCCUACUACAGUGUUGUACAGCUGUGAGACCGGUGCCAAAGGGCCUGCGGCUGCCUGCACACCUUCCCGCUGACAUCAACCCCCUUCAGCAGCCCUGUGUACUGCCUGCGUCUCACCACCAAGCAUCUCUAUGCUGCACUGUCUUAUGACCUCCACGUCCUGGAUUUUCAAAACCCAUGACUGUCGGGGCCACCCCUGCCUGUGGGCCAAGGAGACCAGCGAGUCAGGGACCUCUCUUGCCUGGAGGGUACAGUGAUAGCUCCUCCCCACUGCCCCACUGUCCUCCUGGGCCUGUGACCCCAGUGCUCAGGCACCUUACACUAGAGGCUUCUGACUCCUGGGGCUUUGGGGCUUACCAGAGAUGUAGUCCCUCCCAGGAACCUGUUGGAGAGGCAGGACCUGCUGCUUUAGAGGAAUGAGGCUGAACCCAGGCUUUGCGACCCUGUUUGGCCAGAGCAAGGAUCUGGCCUGGAGAGGCCCAUCCUACAUCCCUUGUUAGAGCCACGAUAGCCUACGGAGUGAGGUGAGAUGCUCCCACCUUCCCAGAUGGUUCCUUUCUGCCCCUUCCUGGAAAGAAGGAUGAGGCUGCCAGUAGCUGGCUGGCACCAGCCAGACCUCACCCUUGAUUAACCUCUCGGGGCCAGGGGUUCAUUCCUGGGGCACCGUGGCCUGGUUUUGCCUUGAAACCAAGAAAGGGCAAAGGGAACCCAGCAGUUCUGAGUGAGUUCUGAGCCAGCCCUGACUCAAUCUGGCUGUUGAGACAUGCUACAGUUUUCAUUUUUGUAAAAAUAAAGCUUGAUUGUUCA